Molecule: long non-coding RNA, 266 nt
Organism: Cheilinus undulatus (humphead wrasse)
Lineage: Eukaryota; Metazoa; Chordata; Actinopteri; Labriformes; Labridae
Exons: 3
Source: RefSeq, a predicted model, not a curated record
UGAAUUACACUGAAAAUACCUGUCUAAGGAGGUAUCAUGGCAGUCUGAUAUCAAGGAGAAUCUAGACUAGGAAAAUGACUGAAGCCCGGUAUGGAAUGAAGACGUCACCUUUGGCUUGUCUAUGCAGUCAAAAUCCAAACCGAUGCAACUGAUUCAGACAGCGUCAAAAAUAAAAGGAGGGGCACUCCUCCUCCACUGAUGAUCUGCAUGGGCAUCUGAGCAUGUCCCUACAGCUCCAUGGUUUGCCCUGCUCCUCCUUCUCCUCC